This 460-nucleotide ribosomal RNA is filed under the name uncultured bacterium. RNAcentral describes it as "partial 16S ribosomal RNA". It matches the Rfam family "Bacterial small subunit ribosomal RNA", at positions 338 to 795 of the family's 1533-position model. The record is from RNAcentral.
CCUACGGGAGGCAGCAGUGAGGAAUAUUGGUCAAUGGACGAGAGCCUGAACCAGCCAAGUAGCGUGAAGGAUGACUGCCCUAUGGGUUGUAAACUUCUUUUAUAAAGGAAUAAAACGAGGCACGUGUGCCUUUUUGCAUGUACUUUAUGAAUAAGGAUCGGCUAACUCCGUGCCAGCAGCCGCGGUAAUACGGAGGAUCCGAGCGUUAUCCGGAUUUAUUGGGUUUAAAGGGAGCGUAGGUGGGUUGUUAAGUCAGUUGUGAAAGUUUGCGGCUCAACCGUAAAAUUGCAAUUGAUACUGGCAGUCUUGAGUACAGUUGAGGUAGGCGCAAUUCGUGGUGUAGCGGUGAAAUGCUUAGAUAUCACGAAGAACCCCGAUUGCGAAGGCAGCUUGCUAAACUGUGACUGACAUUGAUGCUCGAAAGUGUGGGUAUCAAACAGGAUUAGAUACCCCAGUAGUC